Non-coding RNA from Paramuricea clavata, 361 nucleotides. The record is from the annotation of a GenBank genome assembly. NCBI's taxonomy places the organism in Eukaryota, Metazoa, Cnidaria, Anthozoa, Malacalcyonacea, Plexauridae.
UGACCACCUGUUAUUUCGCACGAUUUCCAAUGUAGAAUUCACAAAAACGUGAAUCAUUACAACUACCAAGUUUCAAAUAAAACAACUAGUGUCUCUGUAUCAAAAUUUUUUUCAAAACGCCCAUUUUUCAAAACCAGAAGUGCGGUAAAUUUCUGAAUUUUUGGAUAUUUAUACAUAAUGAUAAACAGAACCUCGUGUGGUUUGAAAUGCAUGUUUCGUGGAAAGUAAUGAAUGCAGAGAUGUUCAUAUCGGUAAAUGCAGCUCACGAAAAUGGAAACCAUGCUUUUGUUCCCGAAAUGCAUGCAUGUUUUCCCAGCGACGUAAGAAUUAAAAUACUAUAUUUGCUACCUUCAGAUUAAUA